AGUGGGCAGACACAAGAGCGGGUACAACACAAUGAGAUUUAUACCACCAUGGAGAAACAGAAAAUGCCCUAAAAACAACAGAGGACGGCGACAGAAGCAAAACCUAGGUCAUUUUACUUCAGAUACAUCAUCCAGAAUGGUUUAAACUGAUGACUUUUAUAUGUACACUAACCAUGUGAUGUACAUUUAUUAUGUCUUUUUUUAAAGAAUGGAAAUAUUUAUUUCAGAGGCCUUAUUUUUGGACAUUUUUAGUGUAGUACUGUUGGCUCGUAUUUAGAAUAUUCAGCUACAACAGUUUUGGACUGUUUAGUAGUCUUUGUUUUAUGUUUUUAAAUACAGAAAUUGAUUUCACAAAUUUAUACCACAUGGUAAUUCUAAGACUUGUUCUUUACCCAUGGAAUGUAAUAUUUUUGCAAAGAUGGACCACUUCACAAAUGGUUAUAAAGUCAUACCCACUUCUUCCACAAUGACCACAACAAAUGACCAAGCAUGAACUAAAGGUAAAGAUGUUUACAGAUUACUUUUCUUACAAAAAAAAAAGAUAAAAAAAUCUAGAAGACACUGUGUUUAAAUAGACAUUUAAAUGUUUUUGAGAUUUAGUAACUGAUUUUUUAGACACUGCCUAUCGCAUGAACUGUAAAGUUGUGUGUGUUAGAUGUAAAAUAUUUGUAAGUUGUAUGGAUUGGAAUUUGAUUAUUCCUCUCUUUGAAAAAAUAAUUCUGAUAAUUCGGAAAAGUAUCUGGUAGCAAAGAUGGAACAGAUCACUGGAAAGUAGAUUUUUAGAUAUUGUGAAAAUAGUCUGUUUAACAAACAGAUUGGAAUAAAGCCUUCUCUAUCAGUUAAACUACCUUGAUACACAUUCAUUUUUAAGAAAAUAUUUGUUUUAACAUAAAUAAACAAAGUGUAUCCGUGUUUGUGAAUAAAAUGCAAAAAUGAUUGUUAAUGAUUGGUGCUCUUAAGGUGAGCUUAAAAAUUAUCUAAGACCUCUAUCCAAAUUUGUCCUGUAGUAAUAGCUGUAUUAAUAGGUUGUUGGUGUUUAAAGAUCUGAAGUGUGAGUAGAAUGUAUUCAGCUGUUUAACUUGUAGUUUAGAUAUAUGCAUGUAGAAUUUAAGAAUAUGUUCAAAAUUAAAUAUUAAUUUUAAUAUUUGGUUUGGAAAAGCAUGUUAUAAUAUAAUGUUUUCACUAUA
Molecule: non-coding RNA, 1187 nt
Organism: Leptonychotes weddellii (Weddell seal)
Lineage: Eukaryota; Metazoa; Chordata; Mammalia; Carnivora; Phocidae
Source: RefSeq, a predicted model, not a curated record